GGGAGGCCAUGGACUUGGGAGUGUCAUGUGAGUGCAGAUGGCGGCGUGAAUUUCUUUGUAAAUUAAAUAAGUUAUUUCCUGUUGCAUAGUUCAAUUAUUGCUAUUGCAAGUUAUAUUUGUUUUUUUGGGUGAAUUAAAGUGACGGAAUAAUGGAACUGUAAGAAAACGGAUCUCACGCCGCCAUUCUGGAGAAAUCUCAUUACUGAUGGUAAACCCUCUCUAACACCGAGAGCAGACACUUCCAACGUUCGAUCAAUCAGGGAACAAGCCAAAGGAUACCGUCUCCCAUUUGUUUUUGUAUUGAUUCAUCAUCCUGCACCCUCCGAGGGUAGUUUCAUUAGCUAUUGGGCAGUUGCACCACUUCGGUGAUAACUUCGUUCCACGGAUUUGGUACCAGACACCAAGGAUCGUUGUUGGAACAUGUGAAAAGGGGUUUGUUUUGGGGGACAUUUGUUCAUACCAGUUAAAGACAUAUUUUUUUUUCUAGUAAUAUUCAGGACAUUUCAUACUUUCAUAAUUUAAUUACACAUAUAUGUUUUUCUUUCUCCACAAAUUUAAGUACAUUUUAGAUAUAACAGCCAUACCUUACAGUUAGUAGUGUUCCCCAAAUUUAUAUAAUUCCUGGUAGAAGUUUCGAGCUCGAAUAUUCUCCACCUACAUGUUCUUUUCACUUGGUUUGUAUUAAUUUUAGACUUGUUUCCUCAUUUAAUUUAAAAAUAAUAUUAGUUCAAUUCACCUAAAUUUAAAAUCAUUUAACUUGCUUCAUAAUUUUCAAUUUUUAUUAGAUUUUUUGGUAAAUAUUAUUUAACUUUCGCUAUUAAACUUUUUAUAUUAAAUUCGAAUAAAUCCCUAGUACCCAUCCCCUCAGGAAGGUACUAGUUUU
Molecule: long non-coding RNA, 883 nt
Organism: Diabrotica virgifera virgifera (western corn rootworm)
Lineage: Eukaryota; Metazoa; Arthropoda; Insecta; Coleoptera; Chrysomelidae
Exons: 2
Source: RefSeq, a predicted model, not a curated record